This 77-nucleotide ribosomal RNA is filed under the name Paenibacillus sp. ICGEB2008. RNAcentral describes it as "partial 16S ribosomal RNA". It matches the Rfam family "Bacterial small subunit ribosomal RNA", at positions 1 to 74 of the family's 1533-position model. The record is from RNAcentral. Lineage: Bacteria; Bacillati; Bacillota; Bacilli; Caryophanales; Paenibacillaceae.
UCUUUAAUGGAGAGUUUGAUCCUGGCUCAGGACGAACGCUGGCGGCGUGCCUAAUACAUGCAAGUCGAGCGGGGUUA